UACGGAGGAUCCGAGCGUUAUCCGGAUUUAUUGGGUUUAAAGGGUGCGUAGGCGGCUUUUUAAGUCAGCGGUGAAAUUUUGCAGCUUAACUGUAACAGUGCCGUUGAUACUGGGGAGCUAGGAUUUGGUUGCUGUGGGGUGGAAUGUGUGGUGUAGCGGUGAAAUGCUUAGAGAUCACACAGAAUAUCGAUUGCGAAGGCAGCUCACAAAGCCAAGAUUGACGCUGAGGCACGAAAGUGUGGGGAUCAAACAGGAUUAGA
This 260-nucleotide ribosomal RNA is filed under the name uncultured prokaryote. RNAcentral's name for it is "partial 16S ribosomal RNA". It matches the Rfam family "Bacterial small subunit ribosomal RNA", at positions 524 to 782 of the family's 1533-position model. The record is from RNAcentral.